This 848-nucleotide ribosomal RNA is filed under the name uncultured archaeon. RNAcentral describes it as "bacterial SSU rRNA". It matches the Rfam family "Archaeal small subunit ribosomal RNA", at positions 29 to 882 of the family's 1478-position model. The record is from RNAcentral.
GCUAUUGGAGUUCGAUUAAGCCAUGCGAGUCGAGAGAAAUUAGAUUCUCGGCUUACCGCUCAUUAACACGUGGGUAACCUGCCCUAUGCUGGGAAUAACCUCGGGAAACUGAGUAUAAUGAUCCAUAGUUCACUACCCCUGGAACGGUGAGUGAAUGAAACCUCCGGCGGCUUAGGAUGGGCCUGCGGCUUAUCAGGUAUUAGGGGGUGUAACGUACCCUCUACCCCUCUACCCGUACGGUUGUUGGAAGACAUACCCCGAAAAUGGAUUCUAAAACACAAAUCCAAACCCUACGGGKUGCASCAGGCSCRAAAMCUUGSCAAUGCRAGAAAUCGUGACCAGGRAAYUCCAAKUGCWUCGGGUAARACCGGUKCUUUUCUUGACUCUHMAUAGGUCUUGRAAUAAGGGGUGGGUAAGGACGGUGCCAGCCGCCGCGGUAAUACCGGCGCCUCAAGUGGUAGUCGCUUUUAUUGGGCCUAAAACGUCCGUAGCCGGUUUGAUACAUUCGUGGGUAAAUCAACCAGCUCAACUGGUUGAAUUCUGCGAGCACGGUCAGACUUGGGACCGGGAGAGGUGUGGGGUACGCUCAGGGUAGGGGUAAAAUCCCGUCAUCCUGAGCGGACCACCUGUUGCGAAGGCGCCACACUAGAACGGAUCUGACGGUCAGGGACGAAGCCUAGGGGCACGAACCGGAUUAGAUACCCGGGUAGUCCUAGGUGUAAACGCUGUGGACUUGAUGUUGGGGGUUCUCCGAGCAUUCUCAGUGUCGAAGCGAAGGUGAUAAGUCCACUGCCUGGGAAGUACGGUCGCAAGGCUGAAACUUAAAGGAAUUGGCGGGGGAGCACCGC